This 274-nucleotide ribosomal RNA is filed under the name uncultured bacterium. RNAcentral describes it as "partial 16S ribosomal RNA". It matches the Rfam family "Archaeal small subunit ribosomal RNA", at positions 473 to 747 of the family's 1478-position model. The record is from RNAcentral.
AAACCAGCACCUCAAGUGGUCAGGAUGAUUAUUGGGCCUAAAGCAUCCGUAGCCGGCUCUGUAAGUUUUCGGUUAAAUCUGUACGCUUAACGUACAGGCUGCCGGGAAUACUGCAGAGCUAGGGGGUGGGAGAGGUAGACGGUACUCGGGAGGAAGUGGUAAAAUGCUUUGAUCUCUCGAUGACCACCUGUGGCGAAGGCGGUCUACCAGAACACGUCCGACGGUGAGGGAUGAAAGCUGGGGGAGCAAACCGGAUUAGAAACCCUAGUAGUCC